AUGGCAGUUCUCAAGGACACCUUCGCACACCAUUUCGAGGUCGUGGCCAUCCUUGCGGGCCUCUUCGUCUUCGUGGUCCUCGUCACUCCGUCGCCGCCGGUGCAGGGCUCGCUCCGUCCGCCCAGCGUUUGCGUCGCACCGUACGUCUACUACGAGCGGAUCGGCAUGAUACAGCCCUACCUCUUGUUCUCCAUCCUUGUCUCCGGCCUCCUCACCUCCAGCCUCAAGCGCCGCACCGCCGCGGCCGACGCGCCCCCGCCGACUCUGUGGAUCCGAGCAUAUGGGAUGCUGGCUCUCCUCCUGUCGUUCGUGAGCAUCCUUCUUCUCGCGGUGCUCGCGUCCUACAUGGCGCAGGUGAGGUCUUCGACCUUCUCUUGCUGGAGCGGGGCAAGCAAGGCCUCUGCCUGCAUCUUCGGCACCUUCGUUGGCCUAGUGUGUGUGGCUACCUACUAUGAGCUCGCGACAGUCAUCAUGUGGGCUGCUUACUAG
RNAcentral lists this ribosomal RNA (489 nucleotides) under Triticum aestivum (bread wheat). RNAcentral's name for it is "partial small subunit ribosomal RNA". The record is from RNAcentral. Lineage: Eukaryota; Viridiplantae; Streptophyta; Magnoliopsida; Poales; Poaceae.